Molecule: long non-coding RNA, 1153 nt
Filed under: Zonotrichia albicollis (white-throated sparrow)
Lineage: Eukaryota; Metazoa; Chordata; Aves; Passeriformes; Passerellidae
Description: lncRNA (ENSZALG00000001366.1)
Source: RNAcentral
AUUCUGGGAAUUCUGGAGGAUUUGGGGUUGGUUCCAAGCUGGGCCCGCACGCCAGCCUGGACAGCGUCGUCUUCGCCGUCUGCGCCAACAAGGUGGACGCGGGGAAGCUGCGGGUGGUGGACGAGAGCGAGGGCCGGCUCUGGGCCGAGAGCCGCGGAUUCCUCUACUGGGAGACGUCGGCGCAGAGCGGGGAGGGCAUCCAGGAGAUGUUCCAGGUGGGAAUUCUGGGAAUUCCGGGAAUUCCCUGGGAAUUCUGGGUGGAAAUUCCUGGUGGGAAUUCCAGGAGAUGUUCCAGGUGGGAAACCCCAAAAAAAUCCGGGAAUUCUGGGUGGAAAAUCCUGGAAUUCCAGGUGGAAAUUCCUGGUGGGAACUCCAGGAUUUCCGGGAAUUCUGGGUGGGAAUUCUGGGCAUUUUUGGGAUUCUCCUGGGAAUUCUGGGUGGGAAUUCUGGGUGGGAAUUCCAUGAGAGAUGUUCCAGGUGGGAAUUCCCAAAAAAUCUGGGAAUUCUCAGAAUUUUUGGGUGGAAAUUCUGGGAAUUUUUGGGAUUUUCCUGGGAAUUGUGGGUGGGAAUUCUGGGAAUUUCUGGGUGGGAAUUCUGGGUGGGAAUUCCCUGAGAGAUGGUCCAGGUUGGAAUUCCUUGGGAUAUGUUCCAGGUGGGAAUUCCCAAAUAUCCGAGUGGGAAUUCUGGGUGGGAAUUCCAAGGAAUUCCAGGUGGGCAUCCAGGAGAUGUUCCAGGUGGGAAUUCUGGGAAAUCCGGGAUUUUCCUGGGAAUUCUGGCUUGGAAUUCUGGGAAUUCUGGGUGGGAAUUCCUGGUGGGAAUUCCAGGAGAUGUUCCAGGUGGGAAACCCCAAAAAAAUCCGGGAAUUCCGGGUGGAAAAUCCGGGAAUUCCGGCUGGUGUUCCAGGUGGGAAUUCCAGGAAUUCUGGGAAUUCUGGGAGGAAAUUCCGGGAAUUAUGGGAUUUUCCUGGGAAUUGCGGGUGGGAUUUGGGGUGAGAAUGAUCCAGGAGAUGUUCCAGGUGGGAAUUCCCAAAAAAAUCCGGGAAUUCUGAGAAUUUUUGGGUGGGAAUUCUGGGAAUUUUUGGGAUUCUCCUGGGAAUUCUGGGUGGGAAUUCCCAAAAAAUCUGGGAAUUCUGGGAAUUUUUAGGGUGGGAAAU